UGAGUACAGCCAUGUCUGUUGGG
Molecule: microRNA, 23 nt
Filed under: Mus musculus (house mouse)
Lineage: Eukaryota; Metazoa; Chordata; Mammalia; Rodentia; Muridae
Description: mmu-miR-1911-5p
Source: miRBase by way of RNAcentral